AGAGUUUGAUCCUGGCUCAGGAUGAACGCUUGCGGCGUGCCUAACACAUGCAAGUCGAACGAGAAGCCUUGGAUUCGUCUGAGGUGGACAGUGGCGCACGGGUGAGUAACACGUUGGUGACCUGCCCCAAAGAGGAGGAUAACCGUUGGAAACGGCGGCUAAUACUCCAUGUGGUCUUCGGUUUUAGAAUCCGUUGAUUAAAGCUCCGGCGCUUUGGGAGGGGCCUGCGGCCCAUCAGCUAGUUGGUAGGGUAACGGCCUACCAAGGCAAGGACGGGUAGGGGGCCUGAGAGGGUGAUCCCCCACACUGGCACUGAGACACGGGCCAGACUCCUGCGGGAGGCAGCAGUGAGGAAUAUUGCGCAAUGGACGAAAGUCAGACGCAGCAACGCCGCGUGGGCGAUGAAGGUUUUCGGAUCGUAAAGCCCUUUUCUGGGGAAAUAGAAAGGAAGGUACCCCAGGAAUAAGAGUCGGCUAACUACGUGCCAGCAGCCGCGGUAAAACGUAGGACUCGAGCGUUAUCCGGAUUUACUGGGCGUAAAGCGCGUGCAGGCGGUUCGGUAAGUUGGACGUUAAAGCUCCCGGCUCAACUGGGAGAGGCCGUUCAAUACUGCCGGGCUAGAGGACGACAGAGGAGAGUGGAAUUCCCGGUGUAGUGGUGAAAUGCGUAGAUAUCGGGAGGAACACCAGUGGCGAAGGCGGCUCUCUGGGUCGUUUCUGACGCUCAGACGCGAAAGCGUGGGUAGCGAACGGGAUUAGAAACCCCGGUAGUCCACGCCGUAAACGAUGCAUACUGGGUGUUGGGGGGUUCAAUCCCUUCAGCGCCGAAGCUAACGCGUUAAGUAUGCCGCCUGGGGACUACGGCCGCAAGGCUAAAACUCAAAGGAAUUGACGGGGGCCCGCACAAGCAGCGGAGCGUGUGGUUUAAUUCGAGGCUACACGAAGAACCUUACCUGGGCUUGACAUAUACGUGGUAGGAAUCCGAAAGGUGACCGACCCUUCGGGGAGCGUAUACAGGUGCUGCAUGGCUGUCGUCAGCUCGUGCCGUGAGGUGUUCGGUUAAGUCCGGUAACGAGCGCAACCCUUGCUACUAGUUACAAGUGUCUAGUGGGACUGCCCGUAAAAAGCGGGAGGAAGGUGGGGAUGACGUCAAGUCAGCAUGGCCUUUAUGUCCAGGGCUACACACACGCUACAAUGGCCGGUACAAUGGGUAGCCAAACCGCGAGGUGGAGCCAAUCCUCCAAAGCCGGUCUCAGUUCAGAUUGUAGGCUGCAACCCGCCUGCAUGAAGUCGGAGUUGCUAGUAACCGCAGGUCAGCUAUACUGCGGUGAAUACGUUCCCGGGCCUUGUACACACCGCCCGUCACGUCAUGGGAGCUGGUCACGCCUGAAGUCGGUGAGCUAACCUAACGGAGGCAGCCGCCUAAGGCAGGGCCGGUGACUGGGACGAAGUCGUAACAAGGUAACC
RNAcentral lists this ribosomal RNA (1466 nucleotides) under uncultured organism. RNAcentral describes it as "bacterial SSU rRNA". It matches the Rfam family "Bacterial small subunit ribosomal RNA". The record is from RNAcentral.